RNAcentral lists this small RNA (79 nucleotides) under Riemerella columbipharyngis. Its description in RNAcentral is "Flavo-1 RNA". Lineage: Bacteria; Pseudomonadati; Bacteroidota; Flavobacteriia; Flavobacteriales; Weeksellaceae. The record is from RNAcentral.
UGAUCGCGUGAGAAAUAGAAGUGGAAAUCCUUUUUGCUCGUGCCUCACAAAAAGAUUGCAACGGAUAGCCCGACGGCAA